CAUUACACNAAUAUGAAGCCGGACUGGGAUAGGGCCUCGCUGCCUUGCCCGUCUGGCGCCAUAUUCACCCAUGUCUUUUUGCGUACUACUUGUUUCCUUGGCGGGUCCGCCCGCCAAUUGGACCUUAUUCAAACCUUUUUUUUCAGUUGCAAUCAGCGUCAGCAAAACAAAUGUAAUCAAUUACAACUUUCAACAACGGAUCUCUUGGUUCUGGCAUCGAUGAAGAACGCAGCGAAAUGCGAUAAGUAGUGUGAAUUGCAGAAUUCAGUGAAUCAUCGAAUCUUUGAACGCACAUUGCGCCCUUUGGUAUUCCAAAGGGCAUGCCUGUUCGAGCGUCAUUUGUACCCUCAAGCUUUGCUUGGUGUUGGGCGUUUUGUCUCUCUCCCGAGACUCGCCUUAAAAUCAUUGGCAGCCGGCCUACUGGUUUCGGAGCGCAGCACAUUAUUUGCGCUCUUGUCCAGCCGCGGUCGCGCGUCCAUGAAGCUUCUUUCAACCUUUUGACCUCGGAUCAGGUAGGGAUAC
This 522-nucleotide ribosomal RNA is filed under the name Pyrenophora tritici-repentis. Its description in RNAcentral is "eukaryotic LSU rRNA". The stretch from base 185 to 338 matches the Rfam family "5.8S ribosomal RNA". The record is from RNAcentral. Lineage: Eukaryota; Fungi; Ascomycota; Dothideomycetes; Pleosporales; Pleosporaceae.